UUGGUUAAGUUAGAAAGGGCGCACGGUGGAUGCCUUGACACUAGGAGUCGAUGAAGGACGGGACUAACGCCGAUAUGCUUCGGGGAGCUGUAAGUAAGCUUUGAUCCGAAGAUUUCCGAAUGGGGAAACCCACCAUACGUAAUGGUAUGGUAUCCUUAUCUGAAUACAUAGGGUAAGGAAGACAGACCCAGGGAACUGAAACAUCUAAGUACCUGGAGGAAGAGAAAGCAAAUGCGAUUUCCUGAGUAGCGGCGAGCGAAACGGAACAUAGCCCAAACCAAGAGGCUUGCCUCUUGGGGUUGUAGGACAUUCUAUACGGAGUUACAAAGGAACGAGGUAGACGAAGCGACCUGGAAAGGUCCGUCGUAGAGGGUAACAACCCCGUAGUCGAAACUUCGUUCUCUCUUGAAUGUAUCCUGAGUACGGCGGAACACGUGAAAUUCCGUCGGAAUCUGGGAGGACCAUCUCCCAAGGCUAAAUACUCCCUAGUGAUCGAUAGUGAACCAGUACCGUGAGGGAAAGGUGAAAAGCACCCCGGAAGGGGAGUGAAAGAGAUCCUGAAACCGUGUGCCUACAAAUAGUCAGAGCCCGUUAACGGGUGAUGGCGUGCCUUUUGUAGAAUGAACCGGCGAGUUACGAUCCCGUGCGAGGUUAAGCUGAAGAGGCGGAGCCGCAGCGAAAGCGAGUCUGAAUAGGGCGUUUAGUACGUGGUCGUAGACCCGAAACCAGGUGAUCUACCCAUGUCCAGGGUGAAGUUCAGGUAACACUGAAUGGAGGCCCGAACCCACGCACGUUGAAAAGUGCGGGGAUGAGGUGUGGGUAGCGGAGAAAUUCCAAUCGAACCUGGAGAUAGCUGGUUCUCCCCGAAAUAGCUUUAGGGCUAGCCUUAAGUGUAAGAGUCUUGGAGGUAGAGCACUGAUUGGACUAGGGGUCCUCAUCGGAUUACCGAAUUCAGUCAAACUCCGAAUGCCAAUGACUUAUCCUUAGGAGUCAGACUGCGAGUGAUAAGAUCCGUAGUCAAAAGGGAAACAGCCCAGACCGCCAGCUAAGGUCCCAAAGUGUGUAUUAAGUGGAAAAGGAUGUGGAGUUGCUUAGACAACUAGGAUGUUGGCUUAGAAGCAGCCACCAUUUAAAGAGUGCGUAAUAGCUCACUAGUCGAGUGACUCUGCGCCGAAAAUGUACCGGGGCUAAAUACACCACCGAAGCUGCGGAUUGAUACCAAUGGUAUCAGUGGUAGGGGAGCGUUCUAAGGACAGUGAAGUCAGACCGUAAGGACUGGUGGAGUGCUUAGAAGUGAGAAUGCCGGUAUGAGUAGCGAAAGACGGGUGAGAAUCCCGUCCACCGAAUGCCUAAGGUUUCCUGAGGAAGGCUCGUCCGCUCAGGGUUAGUCAGGACCUAAGCCGAGGCCGACAGGCGUAGGCGAUGGACAACAGGUUGAUAUUCCUGUACCACCUCUUUAUCGUUUGAGCAAUGGAGGGACGCAGAAGGAUAGAAGAAGCGUGCGAUUGGUUGUGCACGUCCAAGCAGUUAGGCUGAUAAGUAGGCAAAUCCGCUUAUCAUAAAGGCUGAGCUGUGAUGGGGAAGCUCCUUAUGGAGCGAAGUCUUUGAUUCCCCGCUGCCAAGAAAAGCUUCUAGCGAGAUAAAAGGUGCCUGUACCGCAAACCGACACAGGUAGGCGAGGAGAGAAUCCUAAGGUGUGCGAGAGAACUCUGGUUAAGGAACUCGGCAAAAUGACCCCGUAACUUCGGGAGAAGGGGUGCUUUCUUAACGGAAAGCCGCAGUGAAUAGGCCCAAGCGACUGUUUAGCAAAAACACAGCUCUCUGCGAAGCCGUAAGGCGAAGUAUAGGGGGUGACACCUGCCCGGUGCUGGAAGGUUAAGGAGAGGGGUUAGCGUAAGCGAAGCUCUGAACUGAAGCCCCAGUAAACGGCGGCCGUAACUAUAACGGUCCUAAGGUAGCGAAAUUCCUUGUCGGGUAAGUUCCGACCCGCACGAAAGGUGUAACGAUUUGGGCACUGUCUCAACCAGAGACUCGGUGAAAUUAUAGUACCUGUGAAGAUGCAGGUUACCCGCGACAGGACGGAAAGACCCCGUGGAGCUUUACUGUAGCCUGAUAUUGAAUUUUGGUACAGUUUGUACAGGAUAGGCGGGAGCCAUUGAAACCGGAGCGCUAGCUUCGGUGGAGGCGCUGGUGGGAUACCGCCCUGACUGUAUUGAAAUUCUAACCUACGGGUCUUAUCGACCCGGGAGACAGUGUCAGGUGGGCAGUUUGACUGGGGCGGUCGCCUCCUAAAGUGUAACGGAGGCGCCCAAAGGUUCCCUCAGAAUGGUUGGAAAUCAUUCGUAGAGUGCAAAGGCAUAAGGGAGCUUGACUGCGAGACCUACAAGUCGAGCAGGGACGAAAGUCGGGCUUAGUGAUCCGGUGGUUCCGCAUGGAAGGGCCAUCGCUCAACGGAUAAAAGCUACCCCGGGGAUAACAGGCUUAUCUCCCCCAAGAGUCCACAUCGACGGGGAGGUUUGGCACCUCGAUGUCGGCUCAUCGCAUCCUGGGGCUGUAGUCGGUCCCAAGGGUUGGGCUGUUCGCCCAUUAAAGCGGUACGCGAGCUGGGUUCAGAACGUCGUGAGACAGUUCGGUCCCUAUCCGUCGUGGGCGUAGGAAAUUUGAGAGGAGCUGUCCUUAGUACGAGAGGACCGGGAUGGACGCACCGCUGGUGUACCAGUUGUUCUGCCAAGGGCAUAGCUGGGUAGCUAUGUGCGGAAGGGAUAAGUGCUGAAAGCAUCUAAGCAUGAAGCCCCCCUCAAGAUGAGAUUUCCCAUAGCGUAAGCUAGUAAGAUCCCUGAAAGAUGAUCAGGUUGAUAGGUUCGAGGUGGAAGCAUGGUGACAUGUGGAGCUGACGAAUACUAAUAGAUCGAGGACUUAACCAUAUAA
Molecule: ribosomal RNA, 2928 nt
Filed under: Bacillus cereus
Lineage: Bacteria; Bacillati; Bacillota; Bacilli; Caryophanales; Bacillaceae
Description: bacterial LSU rRNA
Rfam family: Bacterial large subunit ribosomal RNA
Source: RNAcentral